RNAcentral lists this transfer RNA (87 nucleotides) under Caudoviricetes sp. Its description in RNAcentral is "tRNA-Leu". It matches the Rfam family "tRNA". Rfam says of the family: Transfer RNA (tRNA) molecules are approximately 80 nucleotides in length. Lineage: Duplodnaviria; Heunggongvirae; Uroviricota; Caudoviricetes. The record is from RNAcentral.
CCAGGUAUGGCGAAAUAGGCAGACGCAAGGGACUUAAAAUCCCUCGGUGGAAACACCAUGUCGGUUCAAGUCCGACUACCUGGACCA